AUACGGAGGGUCCGAGCGUUAUCCGGAUUUAUUGGGUUUAAAGGGUGCGCAGGCGGCCAUUUAAGUCAGCGGUUAAAUCGUGGGGCUCAACCCCAUUCUGCCGUUGAUACUGGGUGGCUUGAUUGCGGUCGAGGUUGGCGGAAUUCGUUGUGUAGCGGUGAAAUGCAUAGAUAUGACGAAGAACACCGAUUGCGUAGGCAGCUGACCAGACCGCAAAUGACGCUCAUGCACGAAAGUGCGGGGAUCGAACAGGAUUAGAUACCCUGGUAGUCCGCACAGUAAACGAUGAAUACUUGUUUUCGGCGAUAUAAUGUCGGAGGCAAAGCGAAAGCGAUAAGUAUUCCACCUGGGGAGUACGCCGGCAACGGUGAAACUUAAAGGAAUUGACGGGG
This 392-nucleotide ribosomal RNA is filed under the name uncultured bacterium. RNAcentral describes it as "partial 16S ribosomal RNA". It matches the Rfam family "Bacterial small subunit ribosomal RNA", at positions 523 to 918 of the family's 1533-position model. The record is from RNAcentral.